Molecule: long non-coding RNA, 488 nt
Filed under: Physcomitrium patens
Lineage: Eukaryota; Viridiplantae; Streptophyta; Bryopsida; Funariales; Funariaceae
Description: long non-coding RNA (PPAT_LNC011338)
Source: RNAcentral
UCCUUGAAUUCCAUACUUGACGAUAAACCUUAUCUUUAUCAAAAUCCAAUUGUAUCUCCAUUACAUAUCCAUUAUCUAUGUAACUUUGACCUUGGUCCAAAAGAGAAGUGCUCACAAUUAACUUAAUCAUAGUCAAUGACUUAGCAUCCUUAUCUUUUGUCCCAUAAUCUUCAUUUGCCACAUAAUCUUGUAUAAAAUCCUUCAUAUCUUCUUGAAUGCAUCCUUGUGAAACAUCAUAAUCUUUUGUUGUCUCAAAGCAUUGUAUAACCUCAUAAUAUUGAAAAUUCUCAUGCUCUUUUGAAAUCUCAUGUUCUUGAAAAGUCUCACAACUUUUACAAUAAUCUUUUGUGGUUUCACAACCACAUUUAGUAUCAUAACCUUGUGCAAUCUCAUAACCCUCUUUAUAAUAAUCAUAUGAAAACUCAUAACUUCUUUCAUCCAACUCAUAUAUGGUCUCAUAGCCAUAUGUAAUUUGACUUUUAUCAUCA